AUGGAAUGUACAAAGAGUUUGGAAGAAAGCAAUGAAGCAAAUUGCUCAAGGUCUGGCGGUGGAUGUUUCUAGUCAGAGCCAACGGACAUCAAUCUAGAUCAAAUACCUACCAUCCCACUUAACAAAAGGUCUACUAUCAGGUCACUUGCUUGGAAAAUUGGGUGCAGCCCUACGACACUCCACUGGAAGUUCAUGUUGAAGUUGAUAAAGAGGCAUACAAACUGUUUGAAGCCAGUUCUGAAUGAAAAGAACAAGAAGGAUAUAAUGAAAUUUUUCUUGUCAAUGCUCGAUGAGACAACGACACAAAAUGAAAGGCCAAAAUUCAAUUCAUAUUGA
Molecule: ribosomal RNA, 336 nt
Filed under: Triticum aestivum (bread wheat)
Lineage: Eukaryota; Viridiplantae; Streptophyta; Magnoliopsida; Poales; Poaceae
Description: partial small subunit ribosomal RNA
Source: RNAcentral